Molecule: ribosomal RNA, 610 nt
Filed under: uncultured bacterium
Lineage: Bacteria
Description: bacterial SSU rRNA
Rfam family: Bacterial small subunit ribosomal RNA
Source: RNAcentral
CCUACGGGAGGCAGCAGUAGGGAAUAUUGGGCAAUGGAGGCAACUCUGACCCAGCCAUGCCGCGUGCAGGAAGACGGUCCUCUGGAUUGUAAACUGCUUUUGAAUGGGAAGAAUGUGCUCCUUGCGAGGGGUAAUGACGGUACCAUUAGAAUAAGCCACGGCUAACUACGUGCCAGCAGCCGCGGUAAUACGUAGGUGGCGAGCGUUAUCCGGAUUUAUUGGGUUUAAAGGGUGCGUAGGCGGCUUAAUAAGUCGGUGGUUAAAAGUAGCAGCUUAACUGUUUUACAUGCCAUCGAUACUGUUGAGCUUGAGAUAUUUGGAGGCAGCUAGAAUUUCCGGUGUAGCGGUGAAAUGCAUAGAUACCGGAAGGAAUACCAAUUGCGAAGGCAGGUUGCUACGAAUAAACUGACGCUGAUGCACGAAAGCGUGGGGAUCAAACAGGAUUAGAUACCCUGGUAGUCCACGCCGUAAACGAUGAUUACUAGUUGUUGGGGUUUAAGCCUCAGUGACCAAGGGAAACCGAUAAGUAAUCCACCUGGGGAGUACGCCGGCAACGGUGAAACUCAAAGGAAUUGACGGCUGAGAGNGCGAGACGACGACGAGGGAGAGG